GUUGAUAAGGUUAAGUGAAUAAGGGCGCACGGUGGAUGCCUUGGCACUAGGAGCCGAUGAAGGACGGGACUAACACCGAUAUGCUUUGGGGAGCUGUAAGUAAGCUAUGAUCCAGAGAUUUCCGAAUGGGGGAACCCAAUAUCUUUUAUAGGAUAUUACUUUUCAGUGAAUACAUAGCUGAUUAGAGGUAGACGCAGAGAACUGAAACAUCUUAGUACCUGCAGGAAGAGAAAGAAAAUUCGAUUCCCUGAGUAGCGGCGAGCGAAACGGGAAGAGCCCAAACCAACAAGCUUGCUUGUUGGGGUUGUAGGACUCCAAUAUGGUAGUCUGUUAGUAUAGUUGAAGGAUUUGGAAAAUUCCGCUAAAGAGGGUGAAAGCCCCGUAGACGAAAUGCUGACAACACCUAGGAGGAUCCUGAGUACGGCGGAACACGAGAAAUUCCGUCGGAAUCCGCGGGGACCAUCCCGCAAGGCUAAAUACUCCCUAGUGACCGAUAGUGAACCAGUACCGUGAGGGAAAGGUGAAAAGCACCCCGGAAGGGGAGUGAAAUAGAUCCUGAAACCGUGUGCCUACAACAAGUCAAAGCUCGUUAAUGAGUGAUGGCGUGCCUUUUGUAGAAUGAACCGGCGAGUUACGAUUGCAUGCGAGGUUAAGUCGAAGAGACGGAGCCGCAGCGAAAGCGAGUCUGAAUAGGGCGAAUGAGUAUGUAGUCGUAGACCCGAAACCAUGUGAUCUACCCAUGUCCAGGUUGAAGGUGCGGUAAAACGCACUGGAGGACCGAACCCACGUACGUUGAAAAGUGCGGGGAUGAGGUGUGGGUAGCGGAGAAAUUCCAAACGAACUUGGAGAUAGCUGGUUCUCUCCGAAAUAGCUUUAGGGCUAGCCUCGGAAUUGAGAAUGAUGGAGGUAGAGCACUGUUUGGACUAGGGGCCCAUCUCGGGUUACCGAAUUCAGAUAAACUCCGAAUGCCAUUCAUUUAUAUCCGGGAGUCAGACUGCGAGUGAUAAGAUCCGUAGUCGAAAGGGAAACAGCCCAGACCACCAGCUAAGGUCCCAAAAUAUAUGUUAAGUGGAAAAGGAUGUGGGGUUGCACAGACAACUAGGAUGUUGGCUUAGAAGCAGCCACCAUUUAAAGAGUGCGUAAUAGCUCACUAGUCGAGUGACCCUGCGCCGAAAAUGUACCGGGGCUAAACAUAUUACCGAAGCUGUGGACUACACCAUUAGGUGUAGUGGUAGGAGAGCGUUCUAAGGGCGUUGAAGGUCGAUCGUGAGGACGGCUGGAGCGCUUAGAAGUGAGAAUGCCGGUAUGAGUAGCGAAAGACAGGUGAGAAUCCUGUCCACCGUAUGACUAAGGUUUCCUGGGGAAGGCUCGUCCGCCCAGGGUUAGUCGGGACCUAAGCCGAGGCCGAUAGGCGUAGGCGAUGGACAACAGGUUGAUAUUCCUGUACCAGUUGUUUUUGUUUGAGCAAUGGAGGGACGCAGUAGGCUAAGGAAUGCAUGCGAUUGGAAGUGCAUGUCCAAGCAAUGAGUCUUGAGUAGAGUUAAAUGCUUUACUCUU
RNAcentral lists this ribosomal RNA (1557 nucleotides) under Enterococcus faecalis. RNAcentral's name for it is "partial 23S ribosomal RNA". It matches the Rfam family "Bacterial large subunit ribosomal RNA", at positions 1 to 1552 of the family's 2925-position model. The record is from RNAcentral. Lineage: Bacteria; Bacillati; Bacillota; Bacilli; Lactobacillales; Enterococcaceae.